Molecule: long non-coding RNA, 315 nt
Filed under: Physcomitrium patens
Lineage: Eukaryota; Viridiplantae; Streptophyta; Bryopsida; Funariales; Funariaceae
Description: long non-coding RNA (PPAT_LNC001352)
Source: RNAcentral
UAUAAACAUAAUCUUUAAUGACGACGAUGAGUCUUUUCUUGCUCAGUAAGAGGUUUGAAAUGUACUGCAUCAAUUUGAAUAUCCUCUACUUCCGAAUGUAUGUAUUGAAGAGGUGUUGGUGUUGCCAUUGAAUUAUAAUAAUGUUGAGGUCCACUUAUACGGUUCUCAUAUCGAAAUUCAAAAAGGCAAUUGUUGCACUUCAUAGCAAAGUCAAUUGCUUGACUCAAUGUUUGAGGAUCAGGUAAAUUGAGCAUUAAUUUUUUUACCUCAUAUUGUAAUCCGUAGAGAAAUUGGCUAAUAAGUACAGCAUUCUCC